GGACGUGUGGUUCUAUUUUGUUAGUUUCUAGGACCGCCGUAAUGAUUAAUAGGGACAGUCGGGGGCAUCAGUAUUCAAUUGUCAGAGGUGAAAUUCUUGGAUUUAUUGAAGACUAACUACUGCGAAAGCAUUUGCCAAGGAUGUUUUCAUUAAUCAGGAACGAAAGUUAGGGGAUCGAAGACGAUCAGAUACCGUCGUAGUCUUAACCAUAAACUAUGCCAACUAGGGAUCGGACGAUGUUAUUUUUUGACGCGUUCGGCACCUUACGAGAAAUCAAAGUGCUUGGGCUCCAGGGGGAGUAUGGUCGCAAGGCUGAAACUUAAAGAAAUUGACGGAAGGGCACCACCAGGGGUGGAGCCUGCGGCUUAAUUUGACUCAACACGGGGAAACUCACCAGGUCCAGACACAAUGAGGAUUGACAGAUUGAGAGCUCUUUCUUGAUUUUGUGGGUGGUGGUGCAUGGCCGUUCUUAGUUGGUGGAGUGAUUUGUCUGCUUAACUGCGAUAACGAACGAGACCUUAACCUGCUAAAUAGACCGUAUUGCUUUGGCAGUACGCCGUCUUCUUAGAGGGACUAUCGGCUCAAGCCGAUGGAAGUUUGAGGCAAUAACAGGUCUGUGAUGCCCUUAUAUGUUCUGGGCCGCACGCGCGCUACACUGACGGAGCCAGCGAGUACUCCCUUGGCCGGAAGGCCCGGGUA
RNAcentral lists this ribosomal RNA (699 nucleotides) under uncultured fungus. RNAcentral describes it as "SSU rRNA". It matches the Rfam family "Eukaryotic small subunit ribosomal RNA", at positions 824 to 1548 of the family's 1831-position model. The record is from RNAcentral. Lineage: Eukaryota; Fungi.